RNAcentral lists this long non-coding RNA (491 nucleotides) under Numida meleagris (helmeted guineafowl). RNAcentral describes it as "lncRNA (ENSNMEG00000017870.1)". Lineage: Eukaryota; Metazoa; Chordata; Aves; Galliformes; Numididae. The record is from RNAcentral.
GUUGUGUUUGCUACUCUCCUCUCCCUCUCCAGUUUUGUAUAACUGACAGCUUUCAAUCUUGUCAAUUGCAAAGCACUAAAGUAGGCUUAGGAGGUAGGGAGUGUGGCAACUUUGAGUCACAAAACAGUUUUUGAACGGUGAAAGACAUAUUGGUUGUCUAUUUUUUGAUAGGAGUGUGUUGGAGAGAACCAUGCUGAACAGCUAAUACCCCAGUGAAUCCACAAGGACUUAGAGUGACUUGACAUGUCAGUGGAAGCUGUCAAACUCCUAUCAAAAGGACAGAUCUCUGUGGGAUUUGUAUUCCUCAUGCCUGCCUUGCAGCCCUACCGAUGGGUCACUUCACUGGAAGGUCUUAUCUAGAGGAGGGGCAUGGUCCAGGCUGGAGCUGGCUCAGAGUGCUUGCAUCAUGGCUCUGCCAGCUGCUGACACACACUGAUAAUAGACUUCUUGUCAAGCAGCAGCUGUUAGAGAGAGAGAUCAGGUUUGAUUAG